This 77-nucleotide transfer RNA is filed under the name Saprospiraceae bacterium. Its description in RNAcentral is "tRNA-Arg". It matches the Rfam family "tRNA". Rfam says of the family: Transfer RNA (tRNA) molecules are approximately 80 nucleotides in length. Their secondary structure includes four short double-helical elements and three loops (D, anti-codon, and T loops). The record is from RNAcentral. Lineage: Bacteria; Pseudomonadati; Bacteroidota; Saprospiria; Saprospirales; Saprospiraceae.
GGCCCUAUAGCUCAACUGGAUAGAGCAGCUGCCUUCUAAGCAGCAGGUUUCAGGUUCGAGUCCUGAUGGGGUCACCA